GACGAACGCUGGCGGCGUGCCUAACACAUGCAAGUCGAACGGAGAAUUUUAUUUCGGUAGAAUUCUUAGUGGCGAACGGGUGAGUAACGCGUAGGCAACCUACCCUUUAGACGGGGACAACAUUCCGAAAGGAGUGCUAAUACCGGAUGUGAUCAUCGUGCCGCAUGGCAGGAUGAAGAAAGAUGGCCUCUACAAGUAAGCUAUCGCUAAAGGAUGGGCCUGCGUCUGAUUAGCUAGUUGGUAGUGUAACGGACUACCAAGGCGAUGAUCAGUAGCCGGUCUGAGAGGAUGAACGGCCACAUUGGGACUGAGACACGGCCCAAACUCCUACGGGAGGCAGCAGUGGGGAAUCUUCCGCAAUGGACGAAAGUCUGACGGAGCAACGCCGCGUGAGUGAUGAAGGAUUUCGGUCUGUAAAGCUCUGUUGUUUAUGACGAACGUGCAGUGUGUGAACAAUGCAUUGCAAUGACGGUAGUAAACGAGGAAGCCACGGCUAACUACGUGCCAGCAGCCGCGGUAAUACGUAGGUGGCGAGCGUUGUCCGGAAUUAUUGGGCGUAAAGAGCAUGUAGGCGGCUUAAUAAGUCGAGCGUGAAAAUGCGGGGCUCAACCCCGUAUGGCGCUGGAAACUGUUAGGCUUGAGUGCAGGAGAGGAAAGGGGAAUUCCCAGUGUAGCGGUGAAAUGCGUAGAUAUUGGGAGGAACACCAGUGGCGAAGGCGCCUUUCUGGACUGUGUCUGACGCUAAGAUGCGAAAGCCAGGGUAGCGAACGGGAUUAGAUACCCCGGUAGUCCUGGCCGUAA
Molecule: ribosomal RNA, 801 nt
Filed under: uncultured bacterium
Lineage: Bacteria
Description: bacterial SSU rRNA
Rfam family: Bacterial small subunit ribosomal RNA
Source: RNAcentral